RNAcentral lists this long non-coding RNA (1351 nucleotides) under Arabidopsis lyrata. RNAcentral's name for it is "long non-coding RNA (ALYR_LNC000284)". The record is from RNAcentral. Lineage: Eukaryota; Viridiplantae; Streptophyta; Magnoliopsida; Brassicales; Brassicaceae.
AAGCAUGUGAAGAGAAAUUGAUGAUUCCAUUGGACAAACUGUUUUGUUCCAAUGGUUUCUUUAAAAACUAGGCCACGAAAAUCAUCUUCAAUAUGGUAUUUCGUGGUUCUUUAAAGUCACCGGAAAACUCUUGGUCAUGAGUUAUUUCGGUGUGUUUAUGUCUUAAACCGGUGGGUAAAUGAAUUGCCCAACGGUCCAUAUUGUUUCAGCCAUUAAAGCACCAAACUCUUGAUGAUUAUUGGAUGCCUUGGUUGUUAAAGCUUCCGCUUAACUCAAGAAAACAGAGCUAAACUCUGUCCAUUUGAACUCUUGAGCAAACUCUCUAUUCUCCAUUCUCCUUUAUUGUCUUUAUACUAUUAUUCUCCUUUAUUUCUGCCCAUUCUAUUCACUUACACUAAUCUCUCACCAUUUUUGUUUGUUUUGGUGUCCAUUAACUCUAAUCUGUUUUGCAAGGAAUCGCUUGUCUCAUAAAGAGAAGGCGAAUGCAUUUGUUAGAGAUUAAUGGAUGGAUAAUCUGGGCACUAUAAGUUUGCGGGAGGGUUAGAACCAUUCACCAUCAGACUUGAAGUCCAUUAGGCGAACAAACCGCACAAGUUCAAGUCUUCUUCAAAUAAAGGCUGUUUCUAAACUCUACUCUCAUUUCAUGAUAUUCUUCAUUAAACCAUUGCCUUAGAAUUCACAGUUUAAUAUAUACAUGAACUCCUAAUUGUUGCUUAAUAGCCUUGAUAUUCCUCAUUUGAUAUUCUCUUUGAUAUUCCUUAUGGCAAAACUUAAUCUUUUCUUCUUUAUCUCUUGUUUAAGGGUGAAGGAGACCAUAAGAGCCUCAAAGAGACCAAUGAGAGCCUCAAGGAAGUAAAAGUUGACAAGGAAAGGAUUCAGAACCAGUCAUGAAGGACUAAGAAAGUGAAGAGUAGAGCCGGUUAUAUUUGAAGCCCAUUUAGACGAUCCAACCAAGUCAAAACUCAAGACAACCCGAAGAAGAAAUCUGGCCAGCGAACUCAAGUGGUUGUUAGAGAGGAAGUGACAUUGGUGGACGAUCAAAUUAGAGAAGAAAUCUGGUGGGAAUGCUGAAUCAAACUCACGCAUUCAAGUGUCAAAGUCAUGGAGCUCAAGUUUGAAUGUGCACAAGACUUCAAAGUCAUUGAUGUACAAGGUUUCAAGGCUCGAAAAGGGUUAAAACCAUCAUGGUUUAACAUGUUCUAAGAAGCGAUCUAGAGACCUCAAGAAGAGAGCUCAAACCGCAACAAAAGUUCAGUUUGGAGUAGCCAUGGAGUCCACGAAGUAGACAACAUGAUUGGUACUCGUUGGAAGUAUCAUGGCGUCUUGGAGUUAGACCUUGAAGAACCCGGGA